This 465-nucleotide ribosomal RNA is filed under the name uncultured bacterium. RNAcentral describes it as "partial 16S ribosomal RNA". It matches the Rfam family "Bacterial small subunit ribosomal RNA", at positions 29 to 507 of the family's 1533-position model. The record is from RNAcentral.
ACGAACGCUGGCGGCGUGCUUAACCCAUGCCAGUCGAACGGAAAGGCCCUGCUUGCAGGGUACUCGAGUGGCGAACGGGUGAGUAACACGUGGGUGAUCUGCCCUGCACUUCGGGAUAAGCUUGGGAAACUGGGUCUAAUACCGGAUAGGAGCCAUCUUUAGUGUGGUGGUUGGAAAGUUUUUUCGGUGUAGGAUGAGCUCGCGGCCUCUCAGCUUGUUGGUGGGGUAAUGGCCUACCAAGGCGGCGACGGGUAGCCGGCCUGAGAGGGUGUACGGCCACAUUGGGACUGAGAUACGGCCCAGACUCCUGCGGGAGGCAGCAGGGGGGAAUAUUGCACAAUGGGCGCAAGCCUGAUGCAGCGACGCCGCGUGGGGGAUGAAGGCCUUCGGGUUGUAAACUCCUUUCGCCAGGGACGAAGCUUUUUUGUGACGGUACCUAGAGAAGAAGCACCGGCUAACUACGUG